GACGGGGGGGGCAAGUGUUCUUCGGAAUCACUGGGCGUAAAGCGCACGUAGGCGGACUCUUAAGUCGGUGGUGAAAUCCUGGAGCUCAACUCCAGAACUGCCUUCGAUACUGGGAGUCUCGAGUUCGGGAGAGGUGAGUGGAACUGCGAGUGUAGAGGUGAAAUUCGUAGAUAUUCGCAAGAACACCAGUGGCGAAGGCGGCUCACUGGCCCGAUACUGACGCUGAGGUGCGAAAGCGUGGGGAGCAAACAGG
RNAcentral lists this ribosomal RNA (253 nucleotides) under uncultured bacterium. RNAcentral describes it as "partial 16S ribosomal RNA". It matches the Rfam family "Bacterial small subunit ribosomal RNA", at positions 524 to 776 of the family's 1533-position model. The record is from RNAcentral.